Molecule: ribosomal RNA, 367 nt
Filed under: uncultured soil bacterium
Lineage: Bacteria
Description: bacterial SSU rRNA
Rfam family: Bacterial small subunit ribosomal RNA
Source: RNAcentral
AGAACGAACGCUGGCGGCACGCCUAACACAUGCAAGUCGAGCGAGACCUUCGGGUUUAGCGGCGGACGGGUUAGUAACGCGUGGGAACGUACCCUUUUCUACGGAAUAGCCUCGGGAAACUGGGAGUAAUACCGUAUACGCCCUUUUGGGGAAAGAUUUAUCGGAGAAGGAUCGGCCCGCGUCUGAUUAGAUAGUUGGUGGGGUAAUGGCCUACCAAGUCUGCGAUCAGUAGCUGGUUGAGAGGAUGAUCAGCAACACUGGGACUGGAGACACGGCCCAGACUCCGUACGGGAGGCAGCAGUGGGGAAUCUUAGACAAGUGGGCGACAAGCCUGAGUCUAGCGAGUGCCGCGUGAGUGGAACGAAGG